CCCACACCACCAACCCAACCCACACUCACCUGCACACUCUUUUCCUGUGUCUUCACACCCUUUUCUCCAUUUUUUGGCCCCUUUCACUUCUCUGAUCCUCUGUUUUCCUAUCCACAGCCACAUUCUCCCUCUCCACUUAUCUCUAACUUUUAUCUCCUUUUUUUGCUUAAAUUGGAAUAGAAUUCAAUAUUCAUUCUGCAUUUAUUUAUUUAUUGGUACUAGGGAUCAAACCCAGGGACACUCUACCACUGAGCUACAUCCCCAGCUCUAUUUAUUUAUUGGUUUGUUUACUGAUUUAUUUAGAGACAGAGUCUCCCUCUAUUGCUCUGACUGGCCUGGAACUUGCAAUCCUUCUGCCUCAGCAACGUGAGUUGCUGGGAUUACAGGCAUGGCCACCACAUUAUGCUUCAUUCUGUGUUAUUAAACAGGUGUUAAAUUCUGAAGUUUUGAAAGCAAGUGAAUUGAAUAUGUAAGCCAGGCUUUUUAAAAGGCCUAAAGAAAUCAAUGGCUUGGAUCGAUGGAAGGAUUUGUUAUGAAGGAAGCAAAUCUAGCAAAAUUUUCAUUGUGGAAUCUAAGUGGUGGAUUGAUGGGUGUUUACUGAAUGAUUCUUUCAACUUUCCUGUAUGUUCUAAUUAGAUGCUAGCAUGCCCAGAACCAAUGACUUUAUAUCUGUCAUUUUCAGGUAGUUUUUAUAUUGAGUAGCUUCAAUAUAAAAAUAUUUUUCCUCCAUCAUGGCAGAGAGCAUUUAUGUUGAGGGGGUGCAGGGAGGCAGGUUCUCAGUGUUUCGUUUGGAAGGGGAAAAAAUCACCGAGAGGUUCGCCCAGGGCUGGCAAUCAAGCAAGGCUUCUUCAGACAAAGCCAGGCAGAAGCAGGCUCUGGGGUUUUCUGGGAGGAACUGCUACCCUCACCAGAAGCUUUGAUGUCAGUGAAGAGAACGUGAGAACUGAACUGAAUUAAGUUGCCCAAGCUUUUGCACACAAGAAACAGCCAUAGACAGUUACCUCAGAGAACACCAGCCAUCCCCACACACUGCUCUGGAUCAUAAAGCUGGGCCUCCAGCCACAAGAGUUGCAGAACCAGUCUUGUACCCAGGGACUGAAGACCUUUCUGGAAAAGAUGAUAGUAGCACCUUUGGCCAGAGAUGGUGGAAAAGCUCGCUGUGUAGUCACUGCUGCUGGUGUCAAUCAGUUAAGCUGCUUCUGGAUGUUUUUUUCUGAGCUGUAUCUCCACUUAUCCUACGAAUUCUUUUCUGACUACAGCCCUAACAGGAAACACCCGCAGUAACAUGUGCCUUGAUGGCUGGGGGAGGGUAUGCCAUAAACUAGCCUCUCUCUGCCAACACACAUGAAAUAAGAGAUUUCCAAGGGGUUUACAGGGCACUGCAAUAAAGACAUAUGCAUGGCUUUUUGGAGCUUCAGAAUUGAAAUAUAAAAAUGGCAAUCAGAGGGAACUGGUUAGAUCAAUUACGGCACAUUUCUACAACAGAAAACUGUGCGGGCCCCUUAAAAAAAAAAAGGAAACGGGAAAGGAAGAGGGUUGGAGGUAAAACUCAGUGGUAGAGUAUUGUCUAGUAUGCUUAAGGCCCUGGGUAUUUUUUUUUAAGGAAGAAAAACCUAGGUGCUUUAAGUAUUGAUAAGAAAUAAUCUCCAGGCUAUACUGUUAAUUAGAAAUAAAAAGAGAUCAUAACAGCAGUGGGUAAUCUGUAGUAUGUGCCUAUCUGUGUGGUUGAAUGUGUGUGUGUGUGUGUGUGUAGUUAUAGAUGCAAGACUAUCUUUGGCUGAAUGCACAAGAAACAGGUUGGUUCAGGAGAAGGGGACUGAGUCAGGGGUAAGAUCAUAUUGGUUGGAUACUUUCCACUUUCUGUGCUUUUUAAACAUCUUUUCAUGUGCAUGCUUUCUAUAUUUUAAAAAAUAAAUUAUUUGUAAAAAGUAGAAACAAAACUAGACUGAGUGCAAACGGCAUGAAACUAUAUGUGUGUUCAGGUCUACCA
This 1990-nucleotide long non-coding RNA is filed under the name Marmota monax (woodchuck). Lineage: Eukaryota; Metazoa; Chordata; Mammalia; Rodentia; Sciuridae. The record is from RNAcentral.